This 381-nucleotide ribosomal RNA is filed under the name uncultured eukaryote. Its description in RNAcentral is "partial 18S ribosomal RNA". It matches the Rfam family "Eukaryotic small subunit ribosomal RNA", at positions 592 to 976 of the family's 1831-position model. The record is from RNAcentral.
CAAUAGCGUAUAUUAAAGCUGUUGCGGUUAAAAAGCUCGUAGUUGGAUUUCUGUCAAGGACAACUGGUCCGCCCUCCGGGUGAGCACAUAGUUUGGUCUUGACAUCUUGCUGGAAGCUGUUGCUGCACUUGGCUGUGUGGCGCAGUGUUCAGCACUUUCACUUUGAGGAAAUUGGUGUGUUUCAAGCAGGCACAUGCCUUUGGACACAGUAGCAUGGAAUAAUUAGAUUGGGCUUUUGCUCCAAUUUGUCGGUUUCUGGAGCUGAGGUGAGUAUUAAUGGGGAUUGUUGGGGGCAUCCGAAUUUAGCCGUCAGAGGUGAAAUUCUUGGAUCUGCUAAAGACGGACAACUGCGAAAGCGUUUGCCCAGGAUGUUUUCAUUGA